CGCGCAGGUGGUCCACUAAGCCCGGCGUGAAAGCCCCCGGCUCAACCGGGGAGGGUCGUCGGGGACUGGUGGACUUGAGGGCGGCAGGGGCUGGUGGAAUCCCCGGUGUAGUGGUGAAAUGCGUAGAGAUCGGGGGGAACACCCGUGGCGAAGGCGGCCAGCUGGGCCCGUCCCUGACACUGAGGCGCGAAGGCGUGGGGAGCGAACG
RNAcentral lists this ribosomal RNA (208 nucleotides) under uncultured bacterium. RNAcentral's name for it is "partial 16S ribosomal RNA". It matches the Rfam family "Bacterial small subunit ribosomal RNA", at positions 568 to 774 of the family's 1533-position model. The record is from RNAcentral.